RNAcentral lists this ribosomal RNA (272 nucleotides) under uncultured bacterium. Its description in RNAcentral is "partial 16S ribosomal RNA". It matches the Rfam family "Bacterial small subunit ribosomal RNA", at positions 524 to 794 of the family's 1533-position model. The record is from RNAcentral.
UACGUAGGGUGCGAGCGUUAAUCGGAAUUACUGGGCGUAAAGCGUGCGCAGGCGGUUUUGUAAGUCAGAUGUGAAAUCCCCGGGCUCAACCUGGGAACUGCAUUUGAGACUGCAAAGCUGGAGUGCGGCAGAGGGGGGAUGGAAUUCCGCGUGUAGCAGUGAAAUGCGUAGAUAUGCGGAGGAACACCAAUGGCGAAGGCAAUCCCCUGGGCCUGCACUGACGCUCAUGCACGAAAGCGUGGGGAGCAAACAGGAUUAGAAACCCGUGUAGU